UACGUAGGGGGCAAGCGUUGUCCGGAAUCAUUGGGCGUAAAGCGCGCGUAGGCGGCCCGGUAAGUCCGCUGUAAAAGUCAAAGGCUCAACCUUUGAAUGUCAGUGGAUACUGCCGGGCUAGAGUCCGGAAGAGGAGAGUGGAAUUCCUGGUGUAGCGGUGAAAUGCGCAGAUAUCAGGAGGAACACCGGUGGCGAAGGCGGUUCUCUGGGCCUGUACUGACGCUGAGGAACGAAAGCGUGGGGAGCGAACAGG
RNAcentral lists this ribosomal RNA (253 nucleotides) under uncultured bacterium. RNAcentral describes it as "partial 16S ribosomal RNA". It matches the Rfam family "Bacterial small subunit ribosomal RNA", at positions 524 to 776 of the family's 1533-position model. The record is from RNAcentral.